GUAGGUGGCAAGCGUUGUCCGGAAUUAUUGGGGCGUAAAGCGCGCGCAGGCGGUUCUUUAAGUCUGAUGUGAAAGCCCACGGGCUCAACCGUGGAGGGUCAUUGGAAACUGGAGAACUUGAGUACAGAAGAGGAAAGCGGAAUUCCACGUGUAGCGGUGAAAUGCGUAGAGAUGUGGAGGAACACCAGUGGCGAAGGCGGCUUUCUGGUCUGUAACUGACGCUGAGGCGCGAAAGCGUGGGGAGCAAACAGGAUUAGAUACCCUGGUAGUCCACGCCGUAAACGAUGAGUGCUAAGUGUUAGGGGGUUUCCGCUCCUUAGUGCUGCAGCUAACGCAUUAAGCACUCCGCCUGGGGAGUACGGCCGCAAGGCUG
RNAcentral lists this ribosomal RNA (373 nucleotides) under uncultured organism. RNAcentral describes it as "partial 16S ribosomal RNA". It matches the Rfam family "Bacterial small subunit ribosomal RNA", at positions 527 to 896 of the family's 1533-position model. The record is from RNAcentral.